UCUUCUUCAUAUGGAGAAUGGAAUUAGAUACCCCAGUAGUCCUAUCUGUAAACGAUGGAUACUAGGUGCUGUGCGUAUCGACCCGUGCAGUGCUGUAGCUAACGCAUUAAGUAUCCCGCCUGGGGAGUACGUUUGCAAGAAUGAACCUCAAAGGAAUUGACGGGGGCCCGCACAAGCGGUGGAGCAUGUGGUUUAAUUCGAUGCAAAGCGAAGAACCUUACCAGAUCAUCGAAGAUAGUUUUCUUACUUUCUCUGG
This 256-nucleotide long non-coding RNA is filed under the name Olea europaea subsp. europaea. It matches the Rfam family "Bacterial small subunit ribosomal RNA", at positions 747 to 1018 of the family's 1533-position model. The record is from RNAcentral. Lineage: Eukaryota; Viridiplantae; Streptophyta; Magnoliopsida; Lamiales; Oleaceae.